RNAcentral lists this ribosomal RNA (468 nucleotides) under uncultured bacterium. RNAcentral's name for it is "partial 16S ribosomal RNA". It matches the Rfam family "Bacterial small subunit ribosomal RNA", at positions 28 to 507 of the family's 1533-position model. The record is from RNAcentral.
GACGAACGCUGGCGGCGUGCUUAACACAUGCAAGUCGAACGGAAAGGCCCUGCUUUUGCGGGGUGCUCGAGUGGCGAACGGGUGAGUAACACGGGAGUAACCUGCCCUUGACUUUGGGAUAACUUCAGGAAACUGGGGCUAAUACCGGAUAGGAGCUCCUGCUGCAUGGUGGGGGUUGGAAAGUUUCGGCGGUUGGGGAUGGACUCUCGGCUUAUCAGCUUGUUGGUGGGGUAGUGGCUUACCAAGGCUUUGACGGGUAGCCGGCCUGAGAGGGUGACCGGCCACCUUGGUACUGAGAUACGGCCCAGACUCCUACGGGAGGCAGCAGUGGGGAAUAUUGCACAAUGGGCGGACGCCUGAUGCAGCAGCGCCGCGUUCGGGAUGACGGCCUUCGGGUUGUAAACCGCUUUCGCCUGUGACGAAGCGUGAGUGACGGUAAUGGGUAAAGAAGCACCGGCUAACUACGUG